RNAcentral lists this ribosomal RNA (1555 nucleotides) under Escherichia coli. RNAcentral describes it as "bacterial SSU rRNA". It matches the Rfam family "Bacterial small subunit ribosomal RNA". Lineage: Bacteria; Pseudomonadati; Pseudomonadota; Gammaproteobacteria; Enterobacterales; Enterobacteriaceae. The record is from RNAcentral.
UUAAAUUGAAGAGUUUGAUCAUGGCUCAGAUUGAACGCUGGCGGCAGGCCUAACACAUGCAAGUCGAACGGUAACAGGAAACAGCUUGCUGUUUCGCUGACGAGUGGCGGACGGGUGAGUAAUGUCUGGGAAACUGCCUGAUGGAGGGGAUAACUACUGGAAACGGUAGCUAAUACCGCAUAACGUCGCAAGACCAAAGAGGGGGACCUUCGGGCCUCUUGCCAUCGGAUGUGCCCAGAUGGGAUUAGCUUGUUGGUGGGGUAACGGCUCACCAAGGCGACGAUCCCUAGCUGGUCUGAGAGGAUGACCAGCCACACUGGAACUGAGACACGGUCCAGACUCCUACGGGAGGCAGCAGUGGGGAAUAUUGCACAAUGGGCGCAAGCCUGAUGCAGCCAUGCCGCGUGUAUGAAGAAGGCCUUCGGGUUGUAAAGUACUUUCAGCGGGGAGGAAGGGAGUAAAGUUAAUACCUUUGCUCAUUGACGUUACCCGCAGAAGAAGCACCGGCUAACUCCGUGCCAGCAGCCGCGGUAAUACGGAGGGUGCAAGCGUUAAUCGGAAUUACUGGGCGUAAAGCGCACGCAGGCGGUUUGUUAAGUCAGAUGUGAAAUCCCCGGGCUCAACCUGGGAACUGCAUCUGAUACUGGCAAGCUUGAGUCUCGUAGAGGGGGGUAGAAUUCCAGGUGUAGCGGUGAAAUGCGUAGAGAUCUGGAGGAAUACCGGUGGCGAAGGCGGCCCCCUGGACGAAGACUGACGCUCAGGUGCGAAAGCGUGGGGAGCAAACAGGAUUAGAUACCCUGGUAGUCCACGCCGUAAACGAUGUCGACUUGGAGGUUGUGCCCUUGAGGCGUGGCUUCCGGAGCUAACGCGUUAAGUCGACCGCCUGGGGAGUACGGCCGCAAGGUUAAAACUCAAAUGAAUUGACGGGGGCCCGCACAAGCGGUGGAGCAUGUGGUUUAAUUCGAUGCAACGCGAAGAACCUUACCUGGUCUUGACAUCCACGGAAGUUUUCAGAGAUGAGAAUGUGCCUUCGGGAACCGUGAGACAGGUGCUGCAUGGCUGUCGUCAGCUCGUGUUGUGAAAUGUUGGGUUAAGUCCCGCAACGAGCGCAACCCUUAUCCUUUGUUGCCAGCGGUCCGGCCGGGAACUCAAAGGAGACUGCCAGUGAUAAACUGGAGGAAGGUGGGGAUGACGUCAAGUCAUCAUGGCCCUUACGACCAGGGCUACACACGUGCUACAAUGGCGCAUACAAAGAGAAGCGACCUCGCGAGAGCAAGCGGACCUCAUAAAGUGCGUCGUAGUCCGGAUUGGAGUCUGCAACUCGACUCCAUGAAGUCGGAAUCGCUAGUAAUCGUGGAUCAGAAUGCCACGGUGAAUACGUUCCCGGGCCUUGUACACACCGCCCGUCACACCAUGGGAGUGGGUUGCAAAAGAAGUAGGUAGCUUAACCUUCGGGAGGGCGCUUACCACUUUGUGAUUCAUGACUGGGGUGAAGUCGUAACAAGGUAACCGUAGGGGAACCUGCGGUUGGAUCACCUCCUUACCUUAAAGAAGC